RNAcentral lists this ribosomal RNA (511 nucleotides) under uncultured Pseudomonas sp. RNAcentral's name for it is "bacterial SSU rRNA". It matches the Rfam family "Bacterial small subunit ribosomal RNA", at positions 903 to 1382 of the family's 1533-position model. Lineage: Bacteria; Pseudomonadati; Pseudomonadota; Gammaproteobacteria; Pseudomonadales; Pseudomonadaceae. The record is from RNAcentral.
CGCCUUGCCAGCCCGCUCAGAAACUCAAAGGAAUUGACGGGGGCCCGCACAAGCGGUGGAGUAUGUGGUUUAAUUCGAUGCAACGCGAAGAACCUUACCUGGUCUUGACAUCCCGGAGACCCUUAGGAAACUAGGGGUGCUUCCAUCUGGAAGAAUCUGGAGACAGGUGCUGCAUGGCUGUCGUCAGCUCGUGUCGUGAGAUGUUGGGUUAAGUCCCAUAACGAGCGCAACCCCUACCUUUAGUUGCCAUCAGGUUAAGCUGGGGACUCUAAAGGAACUGCCUACGCAAGUAGUGAGGAAGGCGGGGAUGACGUCAAGUCAUCAUGGCCCUUACGGCCUGGGCUACACACGUGCUACAAUGGUCGGUACAAAGGGUUGCCAAGCCGCGAGGUGGAGCUAAUCCCAUAAAACCGAUCGUAGUCCGGAUCGCAGUCUGCAACUCGACUGCGUGAAGUCGGAAUCGCUAGUAAUCGUGAAUCAGAAUGUCACGGUGAAUACGUUCCCGGGCCUU